Molecule: small RNA, 73 nt
Filed under: Xanthomonas arboricola
Lineage: Bacteria; Pseudomonadati; Pseudomonadota; Gammaproteobacteria; Lysobacterales; Lysobacteraceae
Description: sX9
Source: RNAcentral
AUGUACGCAUUCAUGCAUUGCGGCUUCGCGUUGCCCACACCCACCUGACGCCUGCCGCUAUGUCCUGUCAGCC